GGCGUAAAGAGCUAGUAGGCGGCUUGUCGCGUCUGCUGUGAAAGCCCGGGGCUUAACCCCGGGUCUGCAGUGGGUACGGGCAGGCUAGAGUGUGGUAGGGGAGGCUGGAAUUCCUGGUGUAGCGGUGGAAUGCGCAGAUAUCAGGAGGAAAACCGAUGGCGAAGGCAGGUCUCUGGGCCAUUACUGACGCUGAGAAGCGAAAGCGUGGGGAGCGAACAGGAUUAGAUACCCUGGUAGUCCACGCCGUAAACGUUGGGCGCUAGGUGUGGGUCCCAUUCCACGGGGUCCGUGCCGCAGCUAACGCAUUAAGCGCCCCGCCUGGGGAGUACGGCCGCAAGGCUAAAACUCAAAGGAAUUGACGGGGGCCCGCACAAGCGGCGGAGCAUGUGGAUUAAUUCGAUGCAACGCGAAGAACCUUACCUGGGCUUGACAUACACCGGAUCGGGCUAGAGAUAGUCUUUCCCUUUGUGGCUGGUGUACAGGUGGUGCAUGGUUGUCGUCAGCUCGUGUCGUGAGAUGUUGGGUUAAGUCCCGCAACGAGCGCAACCCUUGUCUUAUGUUGCCAGCAUUUGGUUGGGGACUCAUGAGAGACUGCCGGGGUCAACUCGGAGGAAGGU
RNAcentral lists this ribosomal RNA (617 nucleotides) under uncultured Actinomycetes bacterium. Its description in RNAcentral is "bacterial SSU rRNA". It matches the Rfam family "Bacterial small subunit ribosomal RNA", at positions 557 to 1174 of the family's 1533-position model. The record is from RNAcentral. Lineage: Bacteria; Bacillati; Actinomycetota; Actinomycetes.